RNAcentral lists this ribosomal RNA (358 nucleotides) under Eukaryota sp. RNAcentral's name for it is "SSU rRNA". It matches the Rfam family "Eukaryotic small subunit ribosomal RNA", at positions 1325 to 1699 of the family's 1831-position model. The record is from RNAcentral.
ACGAUAACGAACGAGACCUCGACCUGCUAAAUAGUUCUACCAAGGAAUUCUCCUUGGGUUGGGGACUUCUUAGAGGGACUAUCGGUGUGUAGCCGACGGAAGUUCGAGGCAAUAACAGGUCUGUGAUGCCCUUCGAUGUUCUGGGCCGCACGCGCGCUACACUGAUGCAUGCAUCGAGUUUACAACCUGGACCGAUAGGUCUGGGUAAUCUUUGCAACCUGCAUCGUGCUGGGGAUAGAUGAUUGUAAUUAUUCAUCUUCAACGAGGAAUUCCUAGUAAACGCAAGUCAUCAACUUGCAUUGAUUACGUCCCUGCCCUUUGUACACACCGCCCGUCGCUAGUACCGAUUGAAUGGAUA